GGGACAACCCGCCGAAAGGCGGGCUAAACCCGCGUACAUGCCACCGGGGCAUCCCGGAGGCAGGAAAGGCUUUGGCCGGACAGGGAUGGGCAUGCGGCGCAUUAGGCAGUAGGCGGGGUAACGGCCCACCUAACCGACGAUGCGUAGGGGUUCUGAGAGGAAGGUCCCCCACACUGGUACUGAGACACGGACCAGACUCCUACGGGAGGCAGCAGUGAGGAAUAUUGGUCAAUGGUCGGGAGACUGAACCAGCCAAGCCGCGUGAGGGAUGAAGGUACAGAGUAUCGUAAACCUCUUUUGUCAGGGAACAAAGGCGGGGACGUGUCCCCGGAUGAGUGUACCUGAAGAAAAAGCAUCGGCUAACUCCGUGCCAGCAGCCGCGGUAAUACGGAGGAUGCGAGCGUUAUCCGGAUUUAUUGGGUUUAAAGGGUGCGCAGGCGGUCUGUUAAGUCAGCGGUCAAAGCCCGGGGCUCAACCCCGGCCCGCCGUUGAAACUGGCAGUCUCGAGUUGGAGAGAAGUAUGCGGAAUGCGCGGUGUAGCGGUGAAAUGCAUAGAUAUCGCGCAGAACUCCGAUUGCGAAGGCAGCAUGCCGGCUCCACACUGACGCUGAGGCACGAAAGCGUGGGUAUCGAACAGGAUUAGAUACCCUGGUAGUCCACGCAGUAAAC
Molecule: ribosomal RNA, 669 nt
Filed under: uncultured bacterium
Lineage: Bacteria
Description: bacterial SSU rRNA
Rfam family: Bacterial small subunit ribosomal RNA
Source: RNAcentral